CGACCGGCGCACGGGUGAGUAACGCGUAUGCAACCUGCCUACUACAGGGGAAUAACCCGGAGAAAUCCGGACUAAUACCGCAUAAUACAGGGCUCCCUCAUGGGAAUAUUGUUAAAGAUUUAUCGGUAGUAGAUGGGCAUGCGUACCAUUAGCUAGUUGGUAAGGUAACGGCUUACCAAGGCAACGAUGGUUAGGGGAACUGAGAGGUUUAUCCCCCACACUGGAACUGAGACACGGACCAG
This 242-nucleotide ribosomal RNA is filed under the name uncultured bacterium. RNAcentral describes it as "partial 16S ribosomal RNA". It matches the Rfam family "Bacterial small subunit ribosomal RNA", at positions 92 to 334 of the family's 1533-position model. The record is from RNAcentral.